RNAcentral lists this long non-coding RNA (537 nucleotides) under Homo sapiens (human). RNAcentral describes it as "non-protein coding lnc-ZRANB1-3:1". Lineage: Eukaryota; Metazoa; Chordata; Mammalia; Primates; Hominidae. The record is from RNAcentral.
UCACGCGUUGCUUAAAUGUUCUGAGCAAUGCAUUUUUAGGUGAUUUUGUCGUUGUGCGAACAUCAUAGAGUCUACUUAGACAAAACCUAGAUAGUAUAGCCUACUGCACAGUAGGCCAUGGGUUAUAGCCUGUUGUUCCUAGGCCAUAAACGCUGUAUAGCAUGUUACUGUAUUGAAUACUGUGGUGUUUUUCUAACACAAAGAUAAGUAUUCAUGAGUGUAAACAUAAACAUAGAAAAAGCACAGUAGAAAUAUGGUGUAAAAGAUAAAAAAUGGUACACCUGUAUAGGGGAAUGGAGCUUGCAAAACUGGAAGUUGCUCUGGGUAAGUCAGUGAGUGAGUGAUGAAUGAAUGUCAAGGACAUUACUAUACACCACUGUAGACUUCAUAGACAGUGAACACUUUGGCUACACUAAGUUUAUUUAAAAAAUUUUCUUCAAAAAUAAAUUAAUCUUAGCUUAUUGUAACUUUUUAACUUUAUAAAUUUUUAAUUUUUAAAAAAACUUUAGACUUUUGUAGUAACACUUAAAACACAAA